This 253-nucleotide ribosomal RNA is filed under the name uncultured bacterium. Its description in RNAcentral is "partial 16S ribosomal RNA". It matches the Rfam family "Bacterial small subunit ribosomal RNA", at positions 524 to 776 of the family's 1533-position model. The record is from RNAcentral.
UACGUAGGGAGCAAGCGUUGUUCGGAUUUACUGGGCGUAAAGGGCGCGUAGGCGGCGCGGUAAGUCACUUGUGAAAUCUCUGGGCUUAACUCAGAACGGCCAAGUGAUACUGCAGUGCUAGAGUGCAGAAGGGGCAAUCGGAAUUCUUGGUGUAGCGGUGAAAUGCGUAGAUAUCAAGAGGAACACCUGAGGUGAAGACGGGUUGCUAGGCUGACACUGACGCUGAGGCGCGAAAGCCAGGGGAGCAAACGGG